This 1372-nucleotide ribosomal RNA is filed under the name uncultured bacterium. Its description in RNAcentral is "bacterial SSU rRNA". It matches the Rfam family "Bacterial small subunit ribosomal RNA", at positions 28 to 1381 of the family's 1533-position model. The record is from RNAcentral.
GAUGAACGCUGGCGGCGUGCCUAAUACAUGCAAGUCGAGCGAACGGACGAGAAGCUUGCUUCUCUGAUGUUAGCGGCGGAUGGGUGAGUAACACGUGGAUAACCUACCUAUAAGACUGGGAUAACUUCGGGAAACCGGAGCUAAUACCGGAUAAUAUUUUGAACCGCAUGGUUCAAAAGUGAAAGACGGUCUUGCUGUCACUUAUAGAUGGAUCCGCGCUGCAUUAGCUAGUUGGUAAGGUAACGGCUUACCAAGGCAACGAUGCAUAGCCGACCUGAGAGGGUGAUCGGCCACACUGGAACUGAGACACGGUCCAGACUCCUACGGGAGGCAGCAGUAGGGAAUCUUCCGCAAUGGGCGAAAGCCUGACGGAGCAACGCCGCGUGAGUGAUGAAGGUCUUCGGAUCGUAAAACUCUGUUAUUAGGGAAGAACAUAUGUGUAAGUAACUGUGCACAUCUUGACGGUACCUAAUCAGAAAGCCACGGCUAACUACGUGCCAGCAGCCGCGGUAAUACGUAGGUGGCAAGCGUUAUCCGGAAUUAUUGGGCGUAAAGCGCGCGUAGGCGGUUUUUUAAGUCUGAUGUGAAAGCCCACGGCUCAACCGUGGAGGGUCAUUGGAAACUGGAAAACUUGAGUGCAGAAGAGGAAAGUGGAAUUCCAUGUGUAGCGGUGAAAUGCUCAGAGAUAUGGAGGAACACCAGUGGCGAAGGCGACUUUCUGGUCUGUAACUGACGCUGAUGUGCGAAAGCGUGGGGAUCAAACAGGAUUAGAUACCCUGGUAGUCCACGCCGUAAACGAUGAGUGCUAAGUGUUAGGGGGUUUCCGCCCCUUAGUGCUGCAGCUAACGCAUUAAGCACUCCGCCUGGGGAGUACGACCGCAAGGUUGAAACUCAAAGGAAUUGACGGGGACCCGCACAAGCGGUGGAGCAUGUGGUUUAAUUCGAAGCAACGCGAAGAACCUUACCAAAUCUUGACAUCCUUUGACAACUCUAGAGAUAGAGCCUUCCCCUUCGGGGGACAAAGUGACAGGUGGUGCAUGGUUGUCGUCAGCUCGUGUCGUGAGAUGUUGGGUUAAGUCCCGCAACGAGCGCAACCCUUAAGCUUAGUUGCCAUCAUUAAGUUGGGCACUCUAAGUUGACUGCCGGUGACAAACCGGAGGAAGGUGGGGAUGACGUCAAAUCAUCAUGCCCCUUAUGAUUUGGGCUACACACGUGCUACAAUGGACAAUACAAAGGGCAGCGAAACCGCGAGGUCAAGCAAAUCCCAUAAAGUUGUUCUCAGUUCGGAUUGUAGUCUGCAACUCGACUACAUGAAGCUGGAAUCGCUAGUAAUCGUAGAUCAGCAUGCUACGGUGAAUACGUUCCCGGGUCU